CGUGUAGGCGGCUCAGCAAGUCAGGUGUGAAAGCCCUCGGCUUAACCGAGGAAGUGCGCCUGAAACUAUUGAGCUUGAGUACCGGAGAGGGCGGUGGAAUUCCCGGUGUAGAGGUGAAAUUCGUAGAUAUCGGGAGGAACACCAGCGGCGAAGGCGACCGCCUGGACGGUUACUGACGCUGAGACGCGAAAGCGUGGGGAGCAAACAGGAUUAGAUACCCUGGUAGUCCACGCCGUAAACGAUGAGCGCUAGGUGUUGUGGGUGUUGACCCCCGCAGUGCCGCAGCUAACGCAUUAAGCGCUCCGCCUGGGGAGUACGGCCGCAAGGCUAAAA
RNAcentral lists this ribosomal RNA (333 nucleotides) under uncultured bacterium. RNAcentral describes it as "bacterial SSU rRNA". It matches the Rfam family "Bacterial small subunit ribosomal RNA", at positions 568 to 899 of the family's 1533-position model. The record is from RNAcentral.